RNAcentral lists this ribosomal RNA (255 nucleotides) under uncultured bacterium. RNAcentral's name for it is "partial 16S ribosomal RNA". It matches the Rfam family "Bacterial small subunit ribosomal RNA", at positions 96 to 354 of the family's 1533-position model. The record is from RNAcentral.
UGGCGGACGGGUGAGUAAUGUCUGGGAAACUGCCUGAUGGAGGGGGAUAACUACUGGAAACGGUAGCUAAUACCGCAUAACGUCGCAAGACCAAAGAGGGGGACCUUCGGGCCUCUUGCCAUCGGAUGUGCCCAGAUGGGAUUAGCUAGUAGGUGGGGUAAAGGCUCACCUAGGCGACGAUCCCUAGCUGGUCUGAGAGGAUGACCAGCCACACUGGAACUGAGACACGGUCCAGACUCCUACGGGAGGCAGCAG